RNAcentral lists this long non-coding RNA (2646 nucleotides) under Canis lupus familiaris (dog). Its description in RNAcentral is "lncRNA (ENSCAFG00000050270.1)". Lineage: Eukaryota; Metazoa; Chordata; Mammalia; Carnivora; Canidae. The record is from RNAcentral.
UUUUUUUUGUAUUGGUGUUCAAUUUACUAACAUACAGAAUAAUACCCAGUGCCCGUCACCCCAUUCACUCCCACACCCCGCCCUCCUCCCCUUCUACCACCCCUAGUUCGUUUCCCAGAGUUAGCAGUCUUUACGUUUCUGUCUCCCUUUCUGAUAUUUCCCACACAUUUCUUCUCCCUUCCCUUAUUUCCCUUUCACUAUUAUUUAUAUUUCCCAAAUGAAUGAGAACAUUAUAUGUUUGUCCUUCUCCGACUGACUUACUUCACUCAGCAUAAUACCCUCCAGUUCCAUCCACGUUGAAGCAAAUGGUGGGUAUUUGUCAUUUCUAAUAGCUGAGUAAUAUUCCAUUGUAUACAUAAACCACAUCUUCUUUAUCCAUUCAUCUUUCGUUGGACCACCGAGGCUCCUUCCACAGUUUGGGCUAUCGUGGCCAUUGCUGCUGAAACAUCGGGGUGCAGGUGUCCCGGCGUUUCAUUGCAUUUGUAUCUUUGGGGUAAAUCCCCAACAGUGCAAUUGCUGGGUCGUAGGGCAGGUAUAUUUUUAACUGUUUGAGGAACCUCCACACAGUUUUCCAGAGUGGCUGCACCAGUUCACAUUCCCACCAACAGUGUAAGAGGGUUCCCUUUUCUCCGCAUCCUCUCCAACAUUUGUUGUUUCCUGCCUUGUUAAUUUUCCCCAUUCUCACUGGUGUGAGGUGUAUGUCAUUGUAGUUUUGAUUUGUAUUUCCCUGAUGGCAAGUGAUGCAGAGCAUUUUCUCAUGUGCAUGUUGGCCAUGUCUAUGUCUUCCCUCUGAGAUUUCUGUUCAUGUCUUUUGCCCAUUUCUGAUUGGAUUGUUUGUUUCUUUGGUGUUGAGUUAAUAAGUUUUUAUAGAUCUUGGAAACUAGCCCUUUUAUCUGAUAUGUCAUUUGCAAAUAUCUUCUUCCCAUUCUGUAGGUGUCUUUGAGUUUUGUUGACUGUAUCCUUUGCUGUGCAAAAGCUUCUUAUCUUGAUGAGUCCCAAUAGUUCAUUUUUGCUUUUGUUUCUUUUGCCUUUGUGGAUGUAUCUUGCAAGAAGUUACUAUGGCCGAGUUCAAAAAGGGUGUUGCCUGUGUUCUUCUCUAGGAUUUUGAUGGAAUCUUGUCUCACAUUUAGAUCUUUCAUCCAUUUUGAGUUUAUCUUUGUGUAUGGUGAAAGAGAGUGGUCUAGUUUCAUUCUUCUGCAUGUGGAUGUCCAAUUUUCCCAGCACCAUUUAUUGAAGAGACUGUCUUUCUUCCAAUGGAUAGUCUUUCCUCCUUUAUCGAAUAUUAGUUGCCCUAAAGUUCAGGUCCACUUCUGGAUUCUCUAUUCUGUUCCACUGAUCUAUGUGUCUGUUUUUGUGCCAGACCACACUGUCUUGAUGACCACAGCUUUGUAGUACAACCUGAAUCUGGCAUUGUGAUGCCCCCAGAUAUGGUUUUCUUUUUUAAAAUUCCCCUGGCUAUUCGGGGUCUUUCUGAUUCCACACAAAUCUUAAAUAAUUUGUUCUAACUCUCUGAAGAAAGUCCAUGGUAUUUUGAUAGGGAUUGCAUUAAACGUGUAGAUUGCCUGGUAACAUUGACAUUUUCACAAUAUUAAUUCUGCCAAUCCAUGAGCAGGAAUAUUUUCCAUCUCUUUGUGUCUUCCUCAAUUUCUUUAGAAGUGUUCUAUAGUUUUGUGGUAUAGAUCCUUUACAUCUUUGGUGAGGUUUAUUCCUAGGUAUCUUAGGCUUUUGGGUGCAUUGUAAAUGGGAUUGACUCCUUAAUUUCUCUUUCUUCAGUCUCAUUGUUAGUGUAUAGAAAUGCCACGACUUCUGGGCAUUGAUUUUGUAUCCUGCCACGCUACGAAUUGCUGUAUGAGUUCUAGCAAUCUUGGGGUGGAGACUUUUGGGUUUUCUAUGUAGAGUAUCAGUCAUCGGCAAGAGGGAGAGUUUGACUUCUUCUUGCCAAUUUGAAUGCCUUAAUGUCUUUUUGUUGUCUGAUUGCUGAGGCUAGGACUUCCAGUACUAUGUUGAAUAGCAGUGGGAGAGUGGACAUCCGUCUUGUUCCUGAUCUUAGGGAAAGGCUCCCAGUGCUUCCCGUUGAGAAUGAUAUUUUGCUGUGGGCUUUUCAUAGAUGGCUUUUAAGAUGUCGAGGAAUGUUCCCUCUAUCCCACGUCUGAAGAGUUUUAAUCAGGAAUGGAUGCUGUAUUUGUCAAAAUGCUUUCCUGCAUCCAAUGAGAGGAUCAUAUGGUUCUUGGUUUUCUCUUGCUGAUAUGAUGAAUCACAUUGAUUGUUUUACGGGUGUUGAACCGCCUUGUGUCCCAGGAUAAAUCCUACUUGGUCACGGUGAAUAAUUUUCUUAUGUACUGUUGGAUCCUAUUGGCCAGUAUCUUGUUGAGAAUUUUUGCAUCCAUGUUCAUCAGGAUAUUGGUCUGUAAUUCCCUUUUUGGCGGGGGUCUUGUCUGGCUUUGGAAUUAAGGUGAUGCUGGCUUCAUAGAACGAUUGGAAGUACUCCAUCUCUUUCUAUCUUUCCAAACAGCUUUAGGAGAAUAGGUAUGAUUUCUUCUUUAAACGUUUGAUAAAUUCUCCUGGGAAGCCAUCUGGCCUGGACUCUUGUGUCUUGGGAGGUUUUUGAUGACUGCUUCAAUUUCCUCCCUGGUUAUUGGCCUGUUC